UACGGAGGGUGCGAGCGUUGUUCGGAAUCACUGGGCGUAAAGCGCACGUAGGCGGCUUUUUAAGUCAGGGGUGAAAUCCUGGAGCUCAACUCCAGAACUGCCUUUGAUACUGAGAAGCUUGAGUCCGGGAGAGGUGAGUGGAACUGCGAGUGUAGAGGUGAAAUUCGUAGAUAUUCGCAAGAACACCAGUGGCGAAGGCGGCUCACUGGCCCGGUACUGACGCUGAGGUGCGAAAGCGUGGGGAGCAAACAGG
RNAcentral lists this ribosomal RNA (253 nucleotides) under uncultured bacterium. RNAcentral describes it as "partial 16S ribosomal RNA". It matches the Rfam family "Bacterial small subunit ribosomal RNA", at positions 524 to 776 of the family's 1533-position model. The record is from RNAcentral.